RNAcentral lists this ribosomal RNA (1006 nucleotides) under Staphylococcus aureus. Its description in RNAcentral is "partial 23S ribosomal RNA". It matches the Rfam family "Bacterial large subunit ribosomal RNA", at positions 1917 to 2925 of the family's 2925-position model. Lineage: Bacteria; Bacillati; Bacillota; Bacilli; Caryophanales; Staphylococcaceae. The record is from RNAcentral.
GCCCCAGUAAACGGCGGCCGUAACUAUAACGGUCCUAAGGUAGCGAAAUUCCUUGUCGGGUAAGUUCCGACCCGCACGAAAGGCGUAACGAUUUGGGCACUGUCUCAACGAGAGACUCGGUGAAAUCAUAGUACCUGUGAAGAUGCAGGUUACCCGCGACAGGACGGAAAGACCCCGUGGAGCUUUACUGUAGCCUGAUAUUGAAAUUCGGCACAGCUUGUACAGGAUAGGUAGGAGCCUUUGAAACGUGAGCGCUAGCUUACGUGGAGGCGCUGGUGGGAUACUACCCUAGCUGUGUUGGCUUUCUAACCCGCACCACUUAUCGUGGUGGGAGACAGUGUCAGGCGGGCAGUUUGACUGGGGCGGUCGCCUCCUAAAAGGUAACGGAGGCGCUCAAAGGUUCCCUCAGAAUGGUUGGAAAUCAUUCAUAGAGUGUAAAGGCAUAAGGGAGCUUGACUGCGAGACCUACAAGUCGAGCAGGGUCGAAAGACGGACUUAGUGAUCCGGUGGUUCCGCAUGGAAGGGCCAUCGCUCAACGGAUAAAAGCUACCCCGGGGAUAACAGGCUUAUCUCCCCCAAGAGUUCACAUCGACGGGGAGGUUUGGCACCUCGAUGUCGGCUCAUCGCAUCCUGGGGCUGUAGUCGGUCCCAAGGGUUGGGCUGUUCGCCCAUUAAAGCGGUACGCGAGCUGGGUUCAGAACGUCGUGAGACAGUUCGGUCCCUAUCCGUCGUGGGCGUAGGAAAUUUGAGAGGAGCUGUCCUUAGUACGAGAGGACCGGGAUGGACAUACCUCUGGUGUACCAGUUGUCGUGCCAACGGCAUAGCUGGGUAGCUAUGUGUGGACGGGAUAAGUGCUGAAAGCAUCUAAGCAUGAAGCCCCCCUCAAGAUGAGAUUUCCCAACUUCGGUUAUAAGAUCCCUCAAAGAUGAUGAGGUUAAUAGGUUCGAGGUGGAAGCAUGGUGACAUGUGGAGCUGACGAAUACUAAUCGAUCGAAGACUUAAUCAA